RNAcentral lists this ribosomal RNA (202 nucleotides) under Salmonella enterica subsp. enterica. RNAcentral's name for it is "partial 23S ribosomal RNA". It matches the Rfam family "Bacterial large subunit ribosomal RNA", at positions 2729 to 2925 of the family's 2925-position model. Lineage: Bacteria; Pseudomonadati; Pseudomonadota; Gammaproteobacteria; Enterobacterales; Enterobacteriaceae. The record is from RNAcentral.
CCAAUGGCACUGCCCGGUAGCUAAAUGCGGAAGAGAUAAGUGCUGAAAGCAUCUAAGCACGAAACUUGCCCCGAGAUGAGUUCUCCCUGAGACUUUAGAUCUCCUGAAGGAACGUUGAAGACGACGACGUUGAUAGGCCGGGUGUGUAAGCGCAGCGAUGCGUUGAGCUAACCGGUACUAAUGAACCGUGAGGCUUAACCUU